This 407-nucleotide ribosomal RNA is filed under the name uncultured bacterium. RNAcentral describes it as "partial 16S ribosomal RNA". It matches the Rfam family "Bacterial small subunit ribosomal RNA", at positions 30 to 526 of the family's 1533-position model. The record is from RNAcentral.
AUUGAACGCUGGCGGCAGGCCUAACACAUGCAAGUCGAGCGGAGCGGCGGACGGGUGAGUAAUGCCUAGGAAUCUGCAUGGGAGUGGGGGAUGACGUCCGGAAACGGGCGCUAAUACCGCAUACUCUCAGAUGAGCAUAGGUCGGAUUAGCUAGUUGGGGGGGUAAAGGCCUACCAAGGCGACGAUCAGUAACUGGUCUGAGAGGAUGAUCAGUCACACUGGAACUGCGACACGGUCCAGACUCCUACGGGAGGCAGCAGUGGGGAAUAUUGGACAAUGGGCGAAAGCCUGAUGCAGCCAUGCCGCGUGUGUGAAGAAGGUCUUCGGAUUGUAAAGCACUUUCAGUUGGGAGGCGUUACCAACAGAAGAAGCACCGGCUAACUUCGUGCCAGCAGCCGCGGUAAUAC